AUUUCGGUAGAAUUCUUAGUGGCGAACGGGUGAGUCACUGCGUAGGCAACCUGCCCUUUAGACGGGGACAACAUUCCGAAAGGAGUGCUAAUACCGGAUGUGAUCAUCGUGCCGCAUGGCAGGAUGAAGAAAGAUGGCCUCUACAAGUAAGCUAUCGCUAAAGGAUGGGCCUGCGUCUGAUUAGCUAGUUGGUAGUGUAACGGACUACCAAGGCGAUGAUCAGUAGCCGGUCUGAGAGGAUGAACGGCCACAUUGGGACUGAGACACGGCCCAAACUCCUACGGGAGGCAGCAGUGGGGAAUCUUCCGCAAUGGACGAAAGUCUGACGGAGCAACGCCGCGUGAGUGAUGAAGGAUUUCGGUCUGUAAAGCUCUGUUGUUUAUGACGAACGUGCAGUGUGUGAACAAUGCAUUGCAAUGACGGUAGUAAACGAGGAAGCCACGGCUAACUACGUGCCAGCAGCCGCGGUAAUACGUAGGUGGCGAGCGUUGUCCGGAAUUAUUGGGCGUAAAGAGCAUGUAGGCGGCUUAAUAAGUCGAGCGUGAAAAUGCGGGGCUCAACCCCGUAUGGCGCUGGAAACUGUUAGGCUUGAGUGCAGGAGAGGAAAGGGGAAUUCCCAGUGUAGCGGUGAAAUGCGUAGAUAUUGGGAGGAACACCAGUGGCGAAGGCGCCUUUCUGGACUGUGUCUGACGCUGAGAUGCGAAAGCCAGGGUAGCGAACGGGAUUAGAUACCCCGGUAGUCCUGGCCGUAAACGAUGGGUACUAGGUGUAGGAGGUAUCGACCCCUUCUGUGCCGG
RNAcentral lists this ribosomal RNA (797 nucleotides) under uncultured bacterium. RNAcentral's name for it is "bacterial SSU rRNA". It matches the Rfam family "Bacterial small subunit ribosomal RNA", at positions 77 to 849 of the family's 1533-position model. The record is from RNAcentral.